UACGUAGGGUGCAAGCGUUAAUCGGAAUUACUGGGCGUAAAGCGUGCGCAGGCGGUUUUGUAAGUCUGAUGUGAAAUCCCCGGGCUCAACCUGGGAAUUGCAUUGGAGACUGCAAGGCUAGAAUCUGGCAGAGGGGGGUAGAAUUCCACGUGUAGCAGUGAAAUGCGUAGAGAUGUGGAGGAACACCGAUGGCGAAGGCAGCCCCCUGGGUCAAGAUUGACGCUCAUGCACGAAAGCGUGGGGAGCAAACAGA
This 253-nucleotide ribosomal RNA is filed under the name uncultured bacterium. Its description in RNAcentral is "partial 16S ribosomal RNA". It matches the Rfam family "Bacterial small subunit ribosomal RNA", at positions 524 to 776 of the family's 1533-position model. The record is from RNAcentral.